AUGGCGAGGAUUCAGCUUUCUGCCAUAGCGGCCUUCGCAGUCUUCCUCGCGCUGGCCGCCCCCUCCAUUGCCGGCGACCCCGACAUGCUCCAGGACGUCUGCGUCGCCGACCUGAAAUCCUCGAUCAAGCUGAACGGGUUCCCGUGCAAGGCGGAGAUCACGGCGGACGACUUCUUCUUCGCCGGUCUCAAGAAGCCCGGCAACACAAACAACCCUGCAGGGUCGAACGUCACGGCGGCGAACGUGCAGUCAUUUUCCGGGGUGAACACGCUUGGUGUGUCAAUGGCCCGCAUCGACUACGCGCCGGGAGGCCAGAACCCGCCGCACACCCACCCGCGUGCCACCGAGAUUAUCUUUGUACUCGACGGAGUCCUCGAGGUGGGCUUCAUCACCACUGCCAACAAGCUCUUCACCAAGACCAUCACCGUCGGAGACGUGUUCGUCUUCCCGCGUGGGCUCGUGCACUUCCAGCAAAACAGGGGACAUGUCCCCGCCUCUGUCAUCGCCGGCUUCAACAGCCAGCUCCAGGGCACGCAAGCCAUCGCCACCACGCUCUUCGCUGCCGCGCCGCCAGUGCCUAGCGACGUGCUGGCCAAGGCCUUCCGGGUCGGUACCGAAGAGAUCGACGCCGUCAAGGCCAAGUUUCAGUAG
Molecule: ribosomal RNA, 651 nt
Filed under: Triticum aestivum (bread wheat)
Lineage: Eukaryota; Viridiplantae; Streptophyta; Magnoliopsida; Poales; Poaceae
Description: partial small subunit ribosomal RNA
Source: RNAcentral